Molecule: ribosomal RNA, 556 nt
Filed under: Tricellula inaequalis
Lineage: Eukaryota; Fungi; Ascomycota; Leotiomycetes; Helotiales; Calloriaceae
Description: partial large subunit ribosomal RNA
Rfam family: Eukaryotic large subunit ribosomal RNA
Source: RNAcentral
CGGAGGAAAAGAAACCAACAGGGAUUGCCUCAGUAACGGCGAGUGAAGCGGCAAAAGCUCAAAUUUGAAAUCUGGCUCUUUCAGGGUCCGAGUUGUAAUUUGUAGAAGAUGCUUUGGGUGUGGCUCUGGUUUAAGUUCUUUGGAAUAUUACAUCAUAGAGGGUGAGAAUCCCGUAUGUGACCAGUCGCCGCGCCCGUGUAAAGCUCUUUCAACGAGUCGAGUUGUUUGGGAAUGCAGCUCAAAAUGGGAGGUAUAUUUCUUCUAAAGCUAAAUAUUGGCCAGAGACCGAUAGCGCACAAGUAGAGUGAUCGAAAGAUGAAAAGCACUUUGGAAAGAGAGUUAAACAGUACGUGAAAUUGUUGAAAGGGAAGCGCUUGCAACCAGACUUGCACGCAGUUGAUCAUCCGGUGUUCUCACCGGGGCACUCUGCUGCGUUCAGGCCAGCAUCGGUUUUGGUGGUUGGAUAAAGGCCUUGGGAAUGUAGCUUCUUUCGGGGAGUGUUAUAGCCCUUGGUGCAAUGCAGCCUACCGGGACCGAGGACCGCGCUUCGGCUAGG